AAUGAACGCUGGCGGCAUGCCUUACACAUGCAAGUCGAACGGCAGCACGGGAGCAAUCCUGGUGGCGAGUGGCGAACGGGUGAGUAAUAUAUCGGAACGUGCCCAGUCGUGGGGGAUAACGUAGCGAAAGCUACGCUAAUACCGCAUACGAUCUAUGGAUGAAAGCGGGGGAUCGCAAGACCUCGCGCGAUUGGAGCGGCCGAUAUCAGAUUAGGUAGUUGGUGAGGUAAAGGCUCACCAAGCCGACGAUCUGUAGCUGGUCUGAGAGGACGACCAGCCACACUGGGACUGAGACACGGCCCAGACUCCUACGGGAGGCAGCAGUGGGGAAUUUUGGACAAUGGGCGAAGCCUGAUCCAGCAAUGCCGCGUGAGUGAUGAAGGCCUUC
Molecule: ribosomal RNA, 388 nt
Filed under: uncultured bacterium
Lineage: Bacteria
Description: bacterial SSU rRNA
Rfam family: Bacterial small subunit ribosomal RNA
Source: RNAcentral